GAUGAAGAACGUAGCGAAGUGCGAUAAGUAAUGUGAAUUGCAAUUCCGUGAAUCAUCGAAUUUUUGAACGCAAAUUGCACUCUUUUCGGAGAGCAUGCCUGUUUGAGGGUCGUUAAAAUAAAAAAUCGACGUUACCUUCGUAACGUUUUCGGAAUUGAGUCAUCUUAAAAGAUUUUGGUUAGUAAGAGGCUUAAAAAUUGAUCUUGGUAUGAUUUAAGCGUGGUUUAACAUUCGUUUAAUUGGUACCGAAACAUUUUUAUUAGGUGUUACUAUCGUGAAUUCUUCUCAUAGUUUUGGCGCCUAUAAUAUGAAAUUAUGACCUCAAAUCAGGUAGGAAUACCCGCUGAACUUAAGCAUAUCAAUAAGCGUAGGA
Molecule: unclassified non-coding RNA, 373 nt
Filed under: soil metagenome
Description: partial contains 5.8S ribosomal RNA, internal transcribed spacer 2, and large subunit ribosomal RNA
Rfam family: 5.8S ribosomal RNA (bases 1-112)
Source: RNAcentral